RNAcentral lists this transfer RNA (91 nucleotides) under Burkholderia metallica. RNAcentral describes it as "tRNA-Ala". The record is from RNAcentral. Lineage: Bacteria; Pseudomonadati; Pseudomonadota; Betaproteobacteria; Burkholderiales; Burkholderiaceae.
CGCGCCGUAGCGCGGCGCACGCUCGCCGGCUCAGCGCGGCGGCGUCGCGUCGAGGUCGAACGUGAACGCGCGUUCGAACGUGCCCGGGCGG